This 1450-nucleotide ribosomal RNA is filed under the name uncultured organism. RNAcentral's name for it is "SSU rRNA". It matches the Rfam family "Bacterial small subunit ribosomal RNA". The record is from RNAcentral.
GAACGCUAGCUACAGGCUUAACACAUGCAAGUCGAGGGGCAGCAUGGUCUUAGCUUGCUAAGGCCGAUGGCGACCGGCGCACGGGUGAGUAACACGUAUCCAACCUGCCGUCUACUCUUGGACAGCCUUCUGAAAGGAAGAUUAAUACAAGAUGGCAUCAUGAGUCCGCAUGUUCACAUGAUUAAAGGUAUUCCGGUAGACGAUGGGGAUGCGUUCCAUUAGAUAGUAGGCGGGGUAACGGCCCACCUAGUCUUCGAUGGAUAGGGGUUCUGAGAGGAAGGUCCCCCACAUUGGAACUGAGACACGGUCCAAACUCCUACGGGAGGCAGCAGUGAGGAAUAUUGGUCAAUGGGCGAGAGCCUGAACCAGCCAAGUAGCGUGAAGGAUGACUGCCCUAUGGGUUGUAAACUUCUUUUAUAAAGGAAUAAAGUCGGGUAUGGAUACCCGUUUGCAUGUACUUUAUGAAUAAGGAUCGGCUAACUCCGUGCCAGCAGCCGCGGUAAUACGGAGGAUCCGAGCGUUAUCCGGAUUUAUUGGGUUUAAAGGGAGCGUAGAUGGAUGUUUAAGUCAGUUGUGAAAGUUUGCGGCUCAACCGUAAAAUUGCAGUUGAUACUGGAUAUCUUGAGUGCAGUUGAGGCAGGCGGAAUUCGUGGUGUAGCGGUGAAAUGCUUAGAUAUCACGAAGAACUCCGAUUGCGAAGGCAGCCUGCUAAGCUGCAACUGACAUUGAGGCUCGAAAGUGUGGGUAUCAAACAGGAUUAGAUACCCUGGUAGUCCACACGGUAAACGAUGAAUACUCGCUGUUUGCGAUAUACUGCAAGCGGCCAAGCGAAAGCGUUAAGUAUUCCACCUGGGGAGUACGCCGGCAACGGUGAAACUCAAAGGAAUUGACGGGGGCCCGCACAAGCGGAGGAACAUGUGGUUUAAUUCGAUGAUACGCGAGGAACCUUACCCGGGCUUAAAUUGCAGAUGAAUUACGGUGAAAGCCGUAAGCCGCAAGGCAUCUGUGAAGGUGCUGCAUGGUUGUCGUCAGCUCGUGCCGUGAGGUGUCGGCUUAAGUGCCAUAACGAGCGCAACCCUUGUUGUCAGUUACUAACAGGUUCCGCUGAGGACUCUGACAAGACUGCCAUCGUAAGAUGUGAGGAAGGUGGGGAUGACGUCAAAUCAGCACGGCCCUUACGUCCGGGGCUACACACGUGUUACAAUGGGGGGUACAGAGGGCCGCUACCACGCGAGUGGAUGCCAAUCCCCAAAACCUCUCUCAGUUCGGACUGGAGUCUGCAACCCGACUCCACGAAGCUGGAUUCGCUAGUAAUCGCGCAUCAGCCACGGCGCGGUGAAUACGUUCCCGGGCCUUGUACACACCGCCCGUCAAGCCAUGGGAGCCGGGGGUACCUGAAGUGCGUAACCGCGAGGAGCGCCCUAGGGUAAAACUGGUGACUGGGGCUAAG